AAUAUUGCACAAUGGAGGAAACUCUGAUGCAGCGACGCCGUGUGAGCGAUGAAGGCCUUCGGGUCGUAAAGCUCUGUCGAAAGGGAAGAAAGACCUAGUGGUUAAUACCCAUUAGGAGUGACGGUACCUUUAAAGGAAGCACCGGCUAACUACGUGCCAGCAGCCGCGGUAAUACGUAGGGUGCAAGCGUUGUUCGGAAUUAUUGGGCGUAAAGCGCGUGUAGGUGGUUAUGCAAGUCAAUUGUGAAAGCCCUGGGCUCAACCCAGGAAGUGCAAUCGAAACUACAUAGCUAGAGGACGGUAGAGGGAUGUGGAAUUCCUAGUGUAGAGGUGAAAUUCGUAGAUAUUAGGAGGAAUACCGGUGGCGAAGGCGGCAUCCUGGGCCGGUCCUGACACUGAGACGCGAAAGCGUGGGUAGCAAACAGGAUUAGAUACCCUGGUAGUCCACGCCGUA
Molecule: ribosomal RNA, 453 nt
Filed under: uncultured marine bacterium
Lineage: Bacteria
Description: bacterial SSU rRNA
Rfam family: Bacterial small subunit ribosomal RNA
Source: RNAcentral